CCAUUUGUGUAGUGGUAGUGGUUGGACUACAACUCUAGAGACCAGGGUUCAAGUCCCCGCUUGAGCA
Non-coding RNA from Phrynosoma platyrhinos (Desert horned lizard), 67 nucleotides. The record is from the annotation of a GenBank genome assembly. NCBI's taxonomy places the organism in Eukaryota, Metazoa, Chordata, Lepidosauria, Squamata, Phrynosomatidae.